This 301-nucleotide ribosomal RNA is filed under the name uncultured bacterium. Its description in RNAcentral is "partial 16S ribosomal RNA". It matches the Rfam family "Bacterial small subunit ribosomal RNA", at positions 509 to 807 of the family's 1533-position model. The record is from RNAcentral.
CAGUAGCCACGGUAAUACGUAGGGUGCAAGCGUUAUCCGGAAUUAUUGGGCGUAAAGAGCUCGUAGGCGGUUUGUCGCGUCUGCUGUGAAAACUGGAGGCUCAACCUCCAGCCUGCAGUGGGUACGGGCAGACUAGAGUGCGGUAGGGGAGAUUGGAAUUCCUGGUGUAGCGGUGGAAUGCGCAGAUAUCAGGAGGAACACCGAUGGCGAAGGCAGAUCUCUGGGCCGUAACUGACGCUGAGGAGCGAAAGCGUGGGGAGCGAACAGGAUUAGAUACCCCCGUAGUCCCUGUCUCUUAUAC